CCCCCCGCGAAGAGCCACCUGCAGUGCAUUUAAAAUCAUGAACUAUCUUCCUGCAGUCCGGUCUGGGCUGGAGCCAGUGCUGAGCAUAGGCUGUUUCUAGCUUGACCUGAAACAUAGUGAAGUGGGCUUGCUGCGAAAGAUGUUGGUCGACAUUGCUUACCAAGCAGAAAGCGUAAGGCGCAAGGCGCAGCAGCAUUUGCUAAAUGUGACAUGAACCUGGAGUGAGGGAGAGAGAGCGUUUAAUUUGUUUCACGGAAAUUUAUUCGAGUUCCACCACUUUAGCGUUACAACUGAGUGCAACAACCGGUGUAUGUGGGUUGUCAAUGCAUCAAAUAUGGCAGACUCUGUGUUUUUUGAGAAGCAGGUUACCUGUGGGCUUCACUGGUGAGUGAGAACUUCCAGCUGCAGACCUGGGUCCAGUUAUAUCUUGCUCUGAACUUCAAAAAAACUCCUUAAAUAGCUACUGCAGACUUAGUACUCUGCAACCUCCAAAAGUAGUAGCUUCCUUCAGUUCACCUUUAACCAACACUCCAAAAUGGCAGCUUGUGGAUUUCAGGAGCAGUUCCACGCAUCACUCGAGUAUUUUGACCACUGGAAGACAGGACUUCAACUGAAGAACAAAAAGAAGGUUACACCAGAACCUAUUCUGAUUUUAAGUGCUCCUGUAAUGUCGUUGAACUAUGAAGAUCAGAUACAGGAAGUUGAAGCAAACAAAGAGGAAGUUGAUAUUGAGCACUGAAUGUAACAAUUCAGCAAUAAGUGUUACCUUUCAUUGUGGUAGUGAUCCUUUUGGUGUUUGCUGUAACUCAUAUUUUAAAAAUGGUGUGAAUACAUGGCACUGUACACAAUGUUAUUACUAAGUGCAUUAGUAAACAUCAACAUAAUUGGAUUUUAGAUAAAAAUAUUACAUUCUCUGGUUAUCCUUUUCAGUGUGAAAGAGAGAACACAGACAUUUGCCUUUUAGUGAGGCUGUAAUUGUUGAUUUAAUCUUCAUUCACCAUAAGAACGUUCAUUUGAAUUUAAACAAUCUGUAUUGCAAGAAGCAUGUUUGAUAUAUUAUUAUACUUUUUCGAGGGGCUUUCUCAUUCAUUUGUAGGAUUUGGGUGUCACUGAGUAGACUAGCAUUUAUUGCUCCUCCCUAAAUGCCCUGAGAAAAUUAUAGUGAGCUGCCUUCUCAAACCACUGCCAUCCAUAGGCAUACUGACAGAUCUGUUAAUGAAGUUGCAAGAAUGACAUUGUCAUGGUGGAGUGUGGGAUUAUUUCUUUAAUGUUUAAAGAUGUCAUUUCAAAACAUUUACUGAUGUUAUAGAUAUUGGAUCUUAAGUCCUGUAAAUGCCCUUUCUCUAAAACUCUUAACUGACCAAGUGUUUUCCCCAUACCCCACACUCCCAUAUCCUUCAAGGCAGUGAGUGUUAUUGAAGGCAUGAGACCUUCAGGUGAUGUGCUUUGACUUUCUUGAGUUUGUAGCAGUAAUGAAUUCUGUAUUCAACAGAAAACAGCUGGAGAAACUCAGUAGGCCUGGCAACUUCUGAUGAAGCGUCAUGGGACCCAAAACACUGACUCUGCUUCCCGUUCACAGACACUGCCAGAUCUGCUGAGUUUCUGUUUCUGUUUUUGUUCCAGGUUUCCAGCAUCUUCCUUUUUUUAUGAACUCUGUUGUUGGGGGAAGUUGCAAAAGUUAUUGGGAUUUAAAAGGAACUGGUAUUGGAGUUUUCCUGUGCAUUCACUGGCACUUGAAGGUCACUUACUGGUCAGCUCAUCAUUAUUCAUUGAGGCUAUUGCUCUAGUUGGCAUUGCGCUGGAGCACGGUGUGGAGAAGAAAGACAGCUUGCAGAGAGGGAGGAGCAGGAGUGCUCCCAAUUGGAGGUGCUAACAGCGGGGUAUAGUCGGGGAAAGCUUUUUUUUUUUUUUUCUUACCUGCAUUCUUACCUUGGAUUCAACCAGGAGCAAUGUCUGAAACAAUUAAGAUUCACUGAGAAGAUGAUUAAAUUAACUGUACCAAAUCUUUCAACUUGACUGUAGCUGCACAGUGGGCAAGUACAGUUUUAAAUGGUAGCCACAAAGAUCUCUGUGGUCUUCAGUUUGUAUGUCUGCAGAUCCUUCCAGGCCAGAGUUGGUGACCUCACCAACCUGUCCAAGUUUGCUGUGCAUUGUUGCAUCAGGCAAGUGAUAUAAAGCCAAGGAAAGGGGAAUUCAUAAUCUAUAAUUAGAGAGAACAAGCACUUUGAUUUGCUAGAAUUGACAUUCCCAAUGGUGUGAGAAGCAUUGACUGCAUAUGACUCUGUAGUGAUCUAUGAUUCAAUGAGGAGAGAUAUUGAAACAGUAAGGGGUACCACUCCCCCAUCUUAUGUGUAACAUGGUAGAUGAACUUGAGCAGCGUAUUA
Molecule: long non-coding RNA, 2384 nt
Organism: Rhincodon typus (whale shark)
Lineage: Eukaryota; Metazoa; Chordata; Chondrichthyes; Orectolobiformes; Rhincodontidae
Exons: 3
Source: RefSeq, a predicted model, not a curated record